Molecule: long non-coding RNA, 517 nt
Filed under: Manihot esculenta (cassava)
Lineage: Eukaryota; Viridiplantae; Streptophyta; Magnoliopsida; Malpighiales; Euphorbiaceae
Description: long non-coding RNA (MESC_LNC009055)
Source: RNAcentral
CACCACUCUGCAUACAGUACCACAUGUCGCUAUCACGCACAACCAUACGUAUGGACGUACUAUCCCUUUCUCCAUUGUCAAAUGGCUAUUUAAUUUCUUCCGGCACCCAUGCUAACAUGGUCUUGAAUGUAGAAGGGUUUGUUCCCACUGAUCUAUCAGGUCAAGUGAGCUGAAUCCUUCUUUGUUGGGCUCGAGUCUUGUUCUGUCCGUCUUGCUCGAGCAUGGUCUGAAUUGCAUGCUAGUGAACAGUCUUGCGUAGCGGGCUCUGGUGAAUUACGGCCUGACUCUACUACGUGGGACUCGCCUGUAGUCCGGGUGACAGAGACCCAUCGAUCAUCAAAGGAAAACAUGAAGGGUAUAUAUGAUCAUGAUUUUAAUUUGGUGGAUCGAAAAGGCAAAAUGGAUAAAAUUUACAAUCUACCCAAUACUUGGUUUGUUUCUCUUCUGCCUUUCACAAACUCAAACUCUAAAUUAUUUUACUCCUCAAAUAUGUUUUGUUGUUAUUAUUAUUAGUAUU